UCAAUAAUAAUCUCAACUAAACACUAGUAAGUACCGUGCCGGAAACAUUCAGGAUGAGGGAUAACAACUGUAAAAGUUCUCGACUCUUGAUCUAAAACAGUGGUCCAGGAAUAUUAGCAUUUAAAGGGGCAUCCCCAGAAUGAACACCUCUGAUAUAAAACCAUAAGAAACACAAUUCUGGCAUUGAGUGAGCGACAGCAACACAGUUAUAGAAAUGUGGAUCACGACUAAACACAAGAAAUCCAAGAAAGCAAAGCAAUGUCAUGAAACUCCCAAUGAGUAGUAUGACAAUGGUGGAAUGGUUAUUGGCCAUUACAAUCUCCAAAGAAUGCAUGAUGCUCUAGAUAGAUCCCCGAGUUCUUUCCAACGAUUGUUGCAAAUAAUUCAAAUUCUUAAGCCAUUUGAAUUGGAGUAAUGUCUGUUACUCUCAUUUGAACAAUUUAUUCAAAAUAUAUUUUUUAUGGUAUCAAAAUAAAUUUACUUGCAAAAGAGUGACAGACAAUAGAGACAUAGGAAAGUGGGGAAAAAAAAGAAGACUAAUAUUGGGUGUGGACUGUGGACCAUGUUGAGUGAUUACCCUACCCUACCUCGUCCUGAGAAGGGAUGGAGCCAAAGCAUUCAUUCUGGAAUGAGAUGUUGACGCACUUGGAAUUAAAAAAGAGUUUCUACCGUAUUGUUAAGGUUGUACCCGGACUCCUGUAAAAGCUUUUCGAUGUUGUUUGAAAAGGGCUUCUCGAGAAAAGGGUAACCACUUUUCCUCCAAAGAUUCCACUUUUCUGAUUUCUUUCGCCUUUCCUUUCGUCCUUUUACUGUCCCUCGGGGUUCCUCCCUCAACUCAGACUCAGAAGAAGAACCUCACACCGCAAAGCUCAAACACCCCACCCCCAAGUGGUCAAAAUGUCAACAAUGCCAAUGUACCAACAACAAGAACAACCUCCUCCAAUGAUCAGUGUGACACAACAAUCAUCACAUGAGUCCAUUGGUCCCUUGAUUGGAGUUCUGGUCGUUGUAAUUGUUUUGGGCGUAAUUGCUGUUAUGAUUGGAAGGCUUUGUUCAGGAAGAAGAAUCAUGGGGCAUGGCCAAUACGAUGUUGAAAGCUGGGCAGAGAGAAAGUGUUCAUCUUGCAUUGAUGGCAGAAUUAACCUCUCACUUCCCACAAGAGUCAGUGAGUCAAGCAACUCAGUUCCUGCAACACCCAUCCACGCUUGUCAAGAAACCAAGCGACCAGAACAAUCUUCUCAGACAUCGCCACCUAACCUUUGAUUUCUAUCAGGGUGUUUUUUUUAUAUAUGUAAAAAAAUAUCAUAGUUCAUUUCGAUAUUUUGUUGUCUUGUUAUUAUUGUUUCAAUUUUCGUCGUUCUUUUGUUUUUCCUUUUUGUCCUAUCGAAUCACCCUCCUCAAGUAGUUACCAAAAUUUAGUCUUCAGAUGUAAUUUCUAUCUGCAAUAUAUAAGGCUGCACCAUCUACUCCUUCAUGCAGUAUCCCACUAUCCCUGGCUUCACUGUAACUUUACAGAGGCCGUUUAACACUUUAGUUAUGUACCUUAGAAUAUAUUAUUGGGGUCACACUCUCACAGCCUCCCAAGUAUUCUUGUUUCGUUAAUAUUAAACUGCUACUUAAUGACAUGUAUUAGCAACA
Glycine soja is the source of this 1638-nucleotide long non-coding RNA. RefSeq lists it as uncharacterized. The transcript is spliced from 3 exons. NCBI's taxonomy places the organism in Eukaryota, Viridiplantae, Streptophyta, Magnoliopsida, Fabales, Fabaceae. The record is from RefSeq and is a predicted model, not a curated record.